Molecule: long non-coding RNA, 3612 nt
Organism: Chroicocephalus ridibundus (black-headed gull)
Lineage: Eukaryota; Metazoa; Chordata; Aves; Charadriiformes; Laridae
Exons: 5
Source: RefSeq, a predicted model, not a curated record
GGAGGACUCUGGAGUCAGUAACAGAAGAAAGUCAGUCCCGCGAGAGCGCGGCUGGCGGGGAGCUGCGGUGCCGCAGUGGGAGGGGGACUGCGAAGACGAAGGUGGCGAUAUCCGUGUGUAUCUGGAAGCUGUGUUCCUCCUCUGUGGGUAGGACUGAAGAGACCUCCUUGCCUUUGGUAAGAAGUUAUCUUGGGAAGAGAUGGGUCAUAACCCUCUGCGGCUUGGAAGACUGUAGGAACCGUCUUGCUCCUUUGGUUUGAUUGAGCAUUUCAGUUUCUUUAUAAUUGGCUGCCAAAGUAUUGAAGAAUUUGUGCAUCUUUAACCUUUGGAGAAACACAAAUGCAGCUCACAGCGUGUGGAAUCUGAUUGUGUUACUCAUCUCGGUGGUGGAACUGACUCCUAACAAAAGCAGCAGAGUCCUACUUUAAACACCUCAGCAAACAAAACAUGGAAAUGGAAAGAGUUCCUGGGUCAUCUAGUCCAGCUCCCUCAUAUUGCAAGCCUCGGCAAGCAAACAGCACACAGACCUUACCAGAAAAGAAGACACUGGGUGCCAAAGACUGUUUGUGGCCUUUGUCACUAGGUCACCUCCUCAUUCAGCAUUUCACUGAUGGAUUGCAUCCCAUGAGUUUCCUUACUUUUUCACAGUAAUACCAUAUUAUCUCCAGUGACUGACUAUUAUACUGUAGAGUGUUUCCUCCACUGCUGUUGCUGGUUGUCUCAGCUUUCAUGCUUGGAAUGAUACAACUCCAUUGGUUGCACUGACCGGCUCUCCAUUGGUCUGGAGACAACCACACCAUAGACACCUGAAGUUGCAUGUCUGAAUGUGGACCUAAUUUACACCUUUAGUUUUUGUUCUUAGGUCAUUAAUGAAAAUAUCACAGAGGACUUAUUGCAAGGCUCUCCACUAAUAUUAUCCCUCCAGUCCAGAAACUGUUCUUUUACUGUAAUCUUCUAUCCACUUUCUAACCAUUCCGCUUUACAUUUUGUGCUAAGCACUGUCUUCUUCAGGCUAACAUGGAAGUGCUUCAAUUAUAACUGGCAUUUUGUAAAAUGCCUAGUUGAAGCCUAGAUUGAUUGAACACGCAUCGUGCUUUGGUGCAAAAAAUCAGUUACCAGGUUACUGACACAACCAACAUUUCACAACCUCUUUUUGUAUUAGGUCUCGGUUUAUCUCCUUAUUGGCAGUUAGUCUUUAAUCAAAAAUAUGUUCUAAAGUCUUGCUGAUGAUGAAAUCCUUUUUUUCCUGUUUCUUAAAGACAAGUAAGUGGUUCACUACUAUGUGUUUUUACUGCAGGAGCUCAUGUUUGGUAGAUUUACUAAAAGCCCUUACAAUUAUUUUAGAACAAGCAGUUUCAAUAUUCCUGAAUGUACAUUGAUCAAAUACUCUUAACCAUAUAAGUGAUUACAUUUCAUCUGAUAUUUCUUCAGUUCUUGCUUCUCUAUGAUUCUGGUACUUUUUUUUUCCUCACAAAACUAAAAUUUUACCUUUUCUUGCUGGAGCAGAUUUUCAGUUGAUCAUACAAUGAAAAUUACCUAUACUUACAGAAAAAUGACACUCCUAUGCCUUGCAAUAUACUGCAAACUGUUGGCUAAUAUAACUUCAUUAUGGAAAAAAUGCCUUUUUUUCCUCUUUGUAAGCUAGAUUAGCACCUUGUGGUUCAUGCCAAAUAAGAAAAAAAUGAAUAGGUUUGCAGAGACAGGAGUCAAGCCAAGACUGAAUUAGUAUAGUCUUUUGCACAGUUUGCUUUUCCUUACAGUCAACUUAAUAUACCUGAAUGUUCCAUCUGCUACCAGUUGAGAGUUUCAGCUUAAAGUCACUAUUUCUGAUCGUAUAAUAUGGGUAUCCUGUGCAAGAAUGACAAUGUUUCAUGUUCUCUCUUGCCUCUCUGCACAUUUGUAUUAGAAAAAGAACUUUAGAUUUGCCUGCUAGUAACUUCACUGUCUUUUUUAUAGUUAUAGCCUUUUGUUUCUUCUUUUUGUGUAAAGGAAAGCUAUCAUACGUGAUCAUUUGGCCUAGAAGAGAAAAAAACCAAAACCCAAUUCACUUUGCUAGGUUAUAAAACCAGCUGGCUUCCCCAUGAAUUUGAGAAUGGUAUUGGACAUGCUGUGGUCUGAUCAUUGCUGCCCAGUGAGGACGGUAAAGAGCAUUGGGAAAUUCUGCUUUCUGGUUCCUGGAUGACAGGGAAUUUGCUUCAAAGUUAAAGCUACCAGAAUAGGUUGUUACUGAACAAUAGUGAGAUCUCAUAGGUGAAGAUGUGAUUACCGACUUUCAGCUACAUUUCUUAAUUGUAUUCGUUUGAACUUGUAUGUGAAUUGCACAUUGAUAACUGUACAUGCAUUUGUUUCUUAAAAGUAUGUAGAGAAAAUAUAUCCCUGAAGAUAAUUAAUUCAUUUUCUGCAUUAGUCAAGUUGCACAAGUGCUAUGUGAUUUUUAUCGUGAUAAACCUGGUAUUUGGGAUGAUGCUGUAAAUGUUGAGAUGGAUUUUUUUUUUAUUAAAUCUCUUCUGUAUUGCAAUUAAAAUGAGAAUUAAGAGCUUUGUUGUAAUAAUUUUACCAUCUUUCUGCGUGUACUCAAGUUUCCUGCUAAAAAUAAAUAUUAAUUUGGACUCCUUUGCUGAAGAUGGUGAGGAUUUUUGUUCCAUCUAAACCAUUACUGUGAAUUGUGGUUAACACAAAUCUACAAUAACUUUUUAUCUAAGUUUCAGAUGCCCUUGAAAGACAUGAAAAGCUUGAAAACGGUCAUGGAUCUGCCAAUCUCCAACACAAGUACCUUUUUAAAAAACAUACAUAUUUCCUCCUGAUAUUAAUAGAGAGGAAAAGCUGGUAAAUAAAGACUCCAGUAUAAAAAUCAGCAAAGUGGAAAAAAAAAAAAAGUAUUAGUGUUUUAGCAGAGUUAUGCAAUGUAUAAAGCUUACAGAGAAAUGCAAAACCAGACCAAUAUCAUAUUUAAUUAAGAUCCCUGUCCAACCUGUGUAGGACUAGAAAAGACUUUAAUGGGAUAGUCAAAACAGCCUUUUUUGUAUGGGAUGCCUGUUCGAACUGCUCACGUAGCAUGAUCACAUAGGGAAAUCAAGUAUUGAUGGUUUUUAAACAAUUUCAUUGCCAGGUUACAAGGCCAAUGUUGAUUCAAACACCUGAAGAAUUUUCUCUUUUUGAAAGUUUUUGCUUUUAGGUUUUUACAGAACAAGAUAUAUGUAUGGGAGCAAGGAAUGGAUGGGUCUGCAUAAUACAUCAGUUCUGUUCUUUUGCAAAUGAAGAUAGAAUUGAUUUCAGUUUUACACAAAAUAUAUCUUAAGCUUAGGUUUGGGCAUGAGCUAUAGAGAUACAUUUUUAUGUUAAAGAGUAAACACUGAUGUAUGAAAGCACACGUAAAACAUUGUAAAAUGUAUACAAAGACUGUCUGAGGAAAAAGAAAUGCUUUUCCUUCCUCAAAAUACAAAUCUAUUAUAAAAAGGGUUCGAGUUAGCAUUCUAUAACCCCACAAAGCUCAUACAAAACCAAAAUGGUGACUGGGCAGUCAUGACUGGCCAUUAUCUAGCGAAAUGAUUAAAGAAAGAAGAGUAACUAAAACAUAAAAUGAAGGACGAUUAGUUUACAGAACAAUGAAGG